AUGAAGAACUCCGAGGAAUGGAAGCGAUACAAAAGACCACCUUCUGAACAAGAAUACUCUGAGGAUGUCAGUCAGCUCCGCCAUGGUCUAAAUGUAGAGCCUAGCAGGGAGGAGCUCAAUCAUUUGCCAAAGGCAUGCUGUCCGCUAUGGGAGCUUGACCUGAACCGUCUCCUUCCUGGUAACGACUACACAAUCGAAUGUGGCCAAGGGAAGAAGGUUUAUCAGAAGGGUGACAUGGCAUCUGAAAACUUGUUCAGCUGGCUGAAGGAUGACGUACUGCGGAGGCCUACAUACUGUCGCUUUUGUGCACUUGUGGACAACUACAACCCACGCCAAGGAUACAAGGAAUUAGUCACUCAGCAGGACAAGAAUGAAGAAGCUGCUUUUAUUGAGGAGAUUGCUAGAAGUGCACCAAUCAAAUACUUACACCGGUAUCUGGUGCUGAAGGGAAUCACGUCUCAGGACCAGAAGGACUUCAAGAAAAUGCUGGCAUCCCUGUGGUUUAAUUUGUAUGGAAGGGGUGAUUCUGGUAGCUCUUCUGCCUUUGAGCAUGUCUUUGUAGGAGAGAUCAAGGGGCGGUGUCGAGGUGAGGAUGAGGUCACAGGCUUCCACAACUGGAUUCAGUUUUACCUGGAAGAAUCCAAAGGCAAUGUGGAUUACCAAGGGUACAUAUUUCCAAAGAAAUGCGGGGACCUGCCAGACUCUGAGACACAGCUGCUCACCAUUCAGUUUGAGUGGCAUGGCUUGCUGAAAUCUGUACCCAGCACAUUGGUUGGUAGUCCUGAGUUUGAGAUUGCACUCUACACGCUCUGCUUCUUGGGUAUUUUGGUUUGGCACUUCUGUCAAAGAGUGCAUACUUACUUUGGCAUAAUAGUUCAAAAUAACAUCACAUAA
This 894-nucleotide ribosomal RNA is filed under the name Triticum aestivum (bread wheat). RNAcentral's name for it is "partial small subunit ribosomal RNA". The record is from RNAcentral. Lineage: Eukaryota; Viridiplantae; Streptophyta; Magnoliopsida; Poales; Poaceae.